UACGUAGGGGGCGAGCGUUGUCCGGAUUUAUUGGGCGUAAAGAGCUCGUAGGCGGUUUGGUAAGUCGGAUGUGAAAUCUCCAGGCUCAACCUGGAGGGGUCAUUCGAGACUGCUAUGACUAGAGUUCGGUAGAGGAGUGUGGAAUUCCUGGUGGAGCGGUGAAAUGCGCAGAUAUCAGGAGGAACACCGGUGGCGAAGGCGCCACUCUGGGCCACGACUGACGCUGAGGAGCGAAAGCAUGGGUAGCAAACAGG
This 254-nucleotide ribosomal RNA is filed under the name uncultured bacterium. Its description in RNAcentral is "partial 16S ribosomal RNA". It matches the Rfam family "Bacterial small subunit ribosomal RNA", at positions 524 to 776 of the family's 1533-position model. The record is from RNAcentral.